RNAcentral lists this non-coding RNA (27 nucleotides) under Mus musculus (house mouse). The record is from RNAcentral. Lineage: Eukaryota; Metazoa; Chordata; Mammalia; Rodentia; Muridae.
UGAAGUCUGAGCUUUUUGGUGGAACUC